RNAcentral lists this ribosomal RNA (300 nucleotides) under uncultured Mesoplasma sp. RNAcentral's name for it is "partial 16S ribosomal RNA". It matches the Rfam family "Bacterial small subunit ribosomal RNA", at positions 496 to 795 of the family's 1533-position model. The record is from RNAcentral. Lineage: Bacteria; Bacillati; Mycoplasmatota; Mollicutes; Entomoplasmatales; Entomoplasmataceae.
ACUGAUUCCGGGCCGUCGAUCCGGGUCAUCGGGAUGGUCCGGGGGUUAUCCGGAGUUAGUGGGUUUAAAGUGAGCGUGUGCCGUAGAUUAAUCGUGUUGUGAAAUGUAGACGCUCAACGUCUGCACUGCAGCGCGAACUGGUUUCCUUGAGUACGCACAAAGUGGGCGGAAUUCGUGGUGUAGCGGUGAAAUGCUUAGAUAUCACGAAGAACUCCGAUUGCGAAGGCAGCUCACUGGAGCGCAACUGACGCUGAAGCUCGAAAGUGCGGGUAUCGAACAGGAUUAGAUACCCUAGUAGUC